CCUUCAUCGUUAAAUAGCCCGGCUCGCUUUGGCGUGUCGCCGGCUUCUUAGCGAGACUUUUGGCUUAAGCCAAAGGAAGUUGGAGGCAAUAACAGGUCUGUGAUGCCCUUAGAUGUUCUGGGCUGCACGCGCGCUACACUGACAGAGCCAACGAGUUUUUUUCCUUGGCCGGAAGGCCUGGGUAAUCUUGUUAAACUCUGUCGUGCUGGGGAUAGAGCAUUGCAAUUAUUGCUCUUCAACGAGGAAUGCCUAGUAAGCGCAUGUCAUCAGCAUGCGUUGAUUACGUCCCUGCCCUUUGUACACACCGCCCGUCGCUACUACCGAUUGAAUGGCUCAGUGAGGUCUCCGGAUUGGUUCAGGGAGGUUGGCAACGACCACCCAGGACCGAGAAGCUGAUCAAACUUGGUCAUUUAGAGGAAGUAAAAGUCG
This 429-nucleotide ribosomal RNA is filed under the name Tubeufiales sp. RNAcentral describes it as "SSU rRNA". It matches the Rfam family "Eukaryotic small subunit ribosomal RNA", at positions 1341 to 1791 of the family's 1831-position model. The record is from RNAcentral. Lineage: Eukaryota; Fungi; Ascomycota; Dothideomycetes; Tubeufiales.